This 420-nucleotide ribosomal RNA is filed under the name uncultured bacterium. RNAcentral describes it as "bacterial SSU rRNA". It matches the Rfam family "Bacterial small subunit ribosomal RNA", at positions 355 to 775 of the family's 1533-position model. The record is from RNAcentral.
UGGGGAAUCUUGCGCAAUGGCCGAAAGGCUGACGCAGCGACGCCGCGUGUGGGAGGAAGCUCUUCGGGGUGUAAACCACUGUUGCCCGGGACGAACGAUGAGCAUUCGCUCAUGUGACGGUACCGGGUGAGGAAGCACCGGCUAACUCUGUGCCAGCAGCCGCGGUAAUACAGAGGGUGCGAGCGUUGUCCGGAAUCACUGGGCGUAAAGGGCGCGUAGGCGGCUUGAUAAGGUUGCGGUGAAAGCCCGGGGCUCAACCCCGGGUCGGCCGUGGCAACUGUCGAGCUGGAGCACUGUAGAGGCAGGUGGAAUUCCGGGUGUAGCGGUGGAAUGCGUAGAGAUCCGGAAGAACACCGGUGGCGAAGGCGGCCUGCUGGGCAGUGGCUGACGCUGAGGCGCGACAGCGUGGGGAGCAAACAG